RNAcentral lists this ribosomal RNA (482 nucleotides) under uncultured bacterium. Its description in RNAcentral is "partial 16S ribosomal RNA". It matches the Rfam family "Bacterial small subunit ribosomal RNA", at positions 30 to 507 of the family's 1533-position model. The record is from RNAcentral.
AUUGAACGCUGGCGGCAUGCUUUACACAUGCAAGUCGAACGGUAACAGGCCGCAAGGUGCUGACGAGUGGCGAACGGGUGAGUAAUGCAUCGGAACGUGCCCAGUCGUGGGGGAUAACUACUCGAAAGAGUAGCUAAUACCGCAUACGAUCUAUGGAUGAAAGCGGGGGACCGUGAGGCCUCGCGCGAUUGGAGCGGCCGAUGUCAGAUUAGGUAGUUGGUGGGGUAAAGGCUCACCAAGCCAACGAUCUGUAGCUGGUCUGAGAGGACAACCAGCCACACUGGGACUGAGACACGGCCCAGACUCCUACGGGAGGCAGCAGUGGGGAAUUUUGGACAAUGGGCGCAAGCCUGAUCCAGCAAUGCCGCGUGCAGGAAGAAGGCCUUCGGGUUGUAAACUGCUUUUGUACGGAACGAAACGGCUCUGGUUAAUACCCGGGGCUAAUGACGGUACCGUAAGAAUAAGCACCGGCUAACUACGUG